This 492-nucleotide ribosomal RNA is filed under the name uncultured bacterium. Its description in RNAcentral is "partial 16S ribosomal RNA". It matches the Rfam family "Bacterial small subunit ribosomal RNA", at positions 29 to 507 of the family's 1533-position model. The record is from RNAcentral.
AGUGAACGCUGGCGGUAGGCCUAACACAUGCAAGUCGAACGGCAGCACAGUAAGAGCUUGCUCUUACGGGUGGCGAGUGGCGGACGGGUGAGGAAUACAUCGGAAUCUACUUUUUCGUGGGGGAUAACGUAGGGAAACUUACGCUAAUACCGCAUACGCCCUACGGGUGAAAGCAGGGGAUCUUCGGACCUUGCGCGAUUGAAUGAGCCGAUGUCGGAUUAGCUGGUUGGCGGGGUAAAGGCCCACCAAGGCGGCGAUCCGUAGCUGGUCUGAGAGGAUGGUCGGCCACACUGGAACUGAGACACGGUCCAGGCUCCUACGGGAGGGAGCAGUGGGGAAUAUUGGACAAUGGGCGCAAGCCUGAUCCAGCCAUACCGCGUGGGUGGAGAAGGCCUUCGGGUUGUAAAGCCCUUUUGUUGGGAAAGAAAAGCAGCAGGUUAAUACCACGCUGUUCUGACGGUACCCAAAGAAUAAGCACCGGCUAACUUCGUG